Molecule: ribosomal RNA, 544 nt
Filed under: uncultured bacterium
Lineage: Bacteria
Description: bacterial SSU rRNA
Rfam family: Bacterial small subunit ribosomal RNA
Source: RNAcentral
AAUAGAUACCCAGGUAGUCCACGCCGUAAACGAUGAGUGCUAAGUGUUGGGGGUUUCCGCCCCUCAGUGCUGCAGCUAACGCAUUAAGCACUCCGCCUGGGGAGUACGGUCGCAAGACUGAAACUCAAAGGAAUUGACGGGGGCCCGCACAAGCGGUGGAGCAUGUGGUUUAAUUCGAAGCAACGCGAAGAACCUUACCAGGUCUUGACAUCCCGGUGACCACUAUGGAGACAUAGUUUCCCCCUUCGGGGGCAACGGUGACAGGUGGUGCAUGGUUGUCGUCAGCUCGUGUCGUGAGAUGUUGGGUUAAGUCCCGCAACGAGCGCAACCCUUAUUCUUAGUUGCCAUCAUUCAGUUGGGCACUCUAAGGAGACUGCCGGUGAUAAACCGGAGGAAGGUGGGGAUGACGUCAAAUCAUCAUGCCCCUUAUGACCUGGGCUACACACGUGCUACAAUGGACGGUACAAACGGUUGCCAACCCGCGAGGGGGAGCUAAUCCGAUAAAACCGUUCUCAGUUCGGAUUGUAGGCUGCAACUCGCCUAC